RNAcentral lists this long non-coding RNA (629 nucleotides) under Elaeis guineensis (African oil palm). RNAcentral's name for it is "long non-coding RNA (EGUI_LNC033495)". Lineage: Eukaryota; Viridiplantae; Streptophyta; Magnoliopsida; Arecales; Arecaceae. The record is from RNAcentral.
UUAGCAUCAAGAGCACAAUAAAGAAUAUUCAUUGCUUUAGCAUUUAAUUGGGUCAUUUUCUUAUCAUCCUCAUCCCAUUCUUUCUCGGGUUUGGUUGAUUCCACACCAUCUAUAAUUUUAGUGGGUGUGUGAGGAUCGUUCACUAUGAUACUCCACAUAUCAUAGUCGAGUGCUUGAACGAAUAUUUUCAUCCGAGCUUUUCAAUAGGUGUAAUUAGACCCAUUGAAAAGUGGAGGUCGGUUGGUAGAUUGCCCCUCGGCUAGAGAAGUGCCGACUUGAGUUGCCAUAGAUCUUUGGCUCUUUGAUUGUUUAGAUCAAAGUAGGGCUAGAGCACCGGGCUCUGAUACCACUUGUUGCCCAGCUAUGCAACCCAAGAGGGGGGGUGAAUUAGGUUUCUAAAAAUUUUAAGCUUAACUUAUGACUUAUGAGAAAUGUUUGACAAAGCUAAAUAAAUAUGGAGAGUAAAAUUAAUUCAAGACUAAUGGCUAAGAGCAAGAAUACAAGAGAAUAAUGAAGAGUUAAAGAAGAACAAUUAGACACACCACAAACAAAAGGAUUUAUAGUGGUUCGGUGCCAACCUUGCACCUACAUCCACUCUCCAAGCUCCUACUUGGGAAUUUCAAUCCACU